UGCCAGGAGAGGGGAAAACAGACAAAUUAGUACGAGCUGUAUAUGUACAUGUAGAGUAUAGUAGGCCAUACGGAGAUAUCUCUUUUGUGUGCAUAAAGUAGUGCAGUUAAUCUGCUCCACAAUUCUAAAGAGUUCAGACUUUGUAUCGCUCUAAUAGACCAAGGAAAGUCAACUUGAGUCAAACAUUUCGAAAUGGAAGCAAGAUAGAACAUAUGGCCCUUUUUCUCGCUAAUCACGCAACAAUCGCUUUCUUUCUUUCAUAU
This 263-nucleotide long non-coding RNA is filed under the name Oryza brachyantha (malo sina). RNAcentral's name for it is "long non-coding RNA (OBRA_LNC002314)". Lineage: Eukaryota; Viridiplantae; Streptophyta; Magnoliopsida; Poales; Poaceae. The record is from RNAcentral.